UGCCAGCCGCCGCGGUAAUACGGAGGGGGUUAGCGUUGUUCGGAAUUACUGGGCGUAAAGCGCACGUAGGCGGAUUGGAAAGUUGGGGGUGAAAUCCCGGGGCUCAACCCCGGAACUGCCUCUAAAACUCCUAGUCUUGAGUUCGAGAGAGGUGAGUGGAAUUCCAAGUGUAGAGGUGAAAUUCGUAGAUAUUUGGAGGAACACCAGUGGCGAAGGCGGCUCACUGGCUCGAUACUGACGCUGAGGUGCGAAAGUGUGGGGAGCAAACAGGAUUAGAUA
RNAcentral lists this ribosomal RNA (279 nucleotides) under uncultured bacterium. Its description in RNAcentral is "partial 16S ribosomal RNA". It matches the Rfam family "Bacterial small subunit ribosomal RNA", at positions 506 to 784 of the family's 1533-position model. The record is from RNAcentral.